UGGCGGACGGGGGAGUAACGCGUGGGUAACCUGCCUCAUACAGGGGAGUAACAGUUAGAAAUGACUGCUAAUACCGCAUAAGACCACAGCACCGCAUGGUGCAGGGGUAAAAACUCCGGUGGUAUGAGAUGGACCCGCGUCUGAUUAGGUAGUUGGUGGGGUAACGGCUUACCAAGCCGACGAUCAGUAGCCGACCUGAGAGGGUGACCGGCCACAUUGGGACUGAGACACGGCCCAA
This 238-nucleotide ribosomal RNA is filed under the name uncultured bacterium. RNAcentral's name for it is "partial 16S ribosomal RNA". It matches the Rfam family "Bacterial small subunit ribosomal RNA", at positions 96 to 334 of the family's 1533-position model. The record is from RNAcentral.